GACGAACGCUGGCGGCGUGCUUAACACAUGCAAGUCGAACGGAAAGACCCUGCUUUCGUGCGCUGCUCGAGUGGCGAACGGGUGAGUAACACGUGAGUAACCUACCCUUCACUUUGGGGUAACUUCAGGAAACUGGGGCUAAUACCAGAUAGGAGCUCCCGCUGCAUUGUGGGGGUUGGAAAGUCUCGGCGGUCGUGGAUGGAUGAGCGGGUUAUCAGCUUGUUGGUUGGGUAGUGGCUUACCAAGGAAUUGAAUGGUAGCCGGCCUGAGAGGGGGACCGGGGACGUUAGUACUGAGAUACGGCCCAGACUGGUAUAGGAGGCAAUGGUGGAGAGUAUUACACAGUGAGAGGGAGUGUGAUGAGAAAGCGCUGGGGGUGGAAAGACGGUCUUCUGGUAGUGAACCGCAUUAGGUUGAUACGAAGCGGUAGUGACGGUACCGGGUGAAUAAGCACCGGCUAACUACGUG
RNAcentral lists this ribosomal RNA (468 nucleotides) under uncultured bacterium. RNAcentral's name for it is "partial 16S ribosomal RNA". It matches the Rfam family "Bacterial small subunit ribosomal RNA", at positions 28 to 507 of the family's 1533-position model. The record is from RNAcentral.